AUAAUACUCCAUAGAUUAGAGACACUGGAAUGUUCUUUAGUCGAAAGUUCUGGCGCCUUAGGAUGGAUCUGCGGUCGAUUAGGUUGUUGUUGGGGUAACGGCCCAACAAGCCUGUAAUCGAUACGGGUUGUGGGAGCAAGAGCCCGGAGAUGGAAUCUGAGACACGAUUCCAGGCCCUACGGGGCGCAGCAGGCGCGAAAACUUUACAAUGCAGGAAACUGUGAUAAGGGAACUCCGAGUGCCCGUAUACGCGGGCUGUCCAGGUGUUUAAAAAUCAUCUGAAGAAAGGGCCGGGCAAGACCGGUGCCAGCCGCCGCGGUAAUACCGGCGGCUCGAGUGGUGGCCACUAUUAUUGGGCUUAAAGCGUCCGUAGCUGGACCGAUAAGUCUCUUGGGAAAUCCGCCGGCUCAACCGGCGGGCGUCUAAGGGAUACUGUUAGUCUAGGGACCGGGAGAGGUGAGAGGUACUCCGGGGGUAGGAGUGAAAUCCUGUAAUCCCCGGGGGACCACCGAUGGCGAAGGCAUCUCACCAGAACGGCUCCGACAGUGAGGGACGAAAGCUGGGGGAACGAACCGGAUUAGAUACCCGGGUAGUCCCAUCCGUAAACUAUGCGCGUUAUGUGU
This 623-nucleotide ribosomal RNA is filed under the name uncultured archaeon. RNAcentral describes it as "bacterial SSU rRNA". It matches the Rfam family "Archaeal small subunit ribosomal RNA", at positions 146 to 774 of the family's 1478-position model. The record is from RNAcentral.